RNAcentral lists this long non-coding RNA (702 nucleotides) under Vulpes vulpes (red fox). Its description in RNAcentral is "lncRNA (ENSVVUG00000010269.1)". Lineage: Eukaryota; Metazoa; Chordata; Mammalia; Carnivora; Canidae. The record is from RNAcentral.
GGCAAUGCAUUCUAUCUCUUAAGAGACGAUUCUUACAUUCUAGAUAUCCACCCACUCAGUAUAUAAAUGAGUCAUCAGCAGAAACAACAAACAUGUAGAUUCAGAUGCGAUGAUACAUACACUCUGCAUAUAUCAUUUAUAUCCCCAAAUAUAUACACUGCAGGCACAUAUGGACACAUACUGAGUAAAUCACAAAGCUUUCCAUCCUGUAAGUCUUUCUCUUUAGCCUGUGAUGGAUCUCAUUAUUAAUUAAAGAAUCAUUUAGCUUGCAUAAUUGUCUUCUGCCAUCCAUAAUUCCAACCUUUCAAUGUCUUUUCAAGUUGGCUUUUUAGACUAAAUGCACCCCUUUGUCUUGGUGACAUCAUCAACACAGUCUGGAUGGACAGACUCAGCAGUGGGGUGGAUAACAUGGAAAGAGGCCUUCUCUUUGUUCUCAGUCAUGGAACUUACCAAGAGCGUGCAUCUGUCAAGACUUUGCCGGCCUCCUACUUCCUUCACGGGACUCAGGGCCUGAUGUCAGAUGCAAAGUUCCCAAUGUCUAUCAGCUUUAUGUCCGGGUCAACUUUCCUGCUGCACUCUUCUAUGAAGAACAGUGUCAAUAAGUUCAAAAUCCCAUAUGCUUUUGAUCUGAUAUGGAAGUACGAUGCAUCAAUAUCAGACAGCAAAAGGGAAGGGAAGAAAAAAGCUGGAGAAAGAGGAUAA